GGUAGUUCCUCCUGCGUUCAUUCUCCUUCCUGCUGCCUUGUGAAGAAGGUGCCUUGCUGCUGCCAUUAUUGAUGUGGAGCUGAGAAGCCCCGAUUUCCACUUUCUGACUCCUAGACUCAGCUGAUUUGAACCCCUCAGUGGAAUAGCAGCAGCCCAUCCGCAGCUUUCCUAGAAGUUCCUGACCUAGUAGCCUGAAAUGCAUUCUAAUCAAGUGAGACAAGGCUGUGGCUGGAAGACUCCCCGUGAGCCAGGGAAUUGAAGCUGCCUCUGCAAGCUGAAUUCGUAAUUGCCAUGAGAAGGCAACAGCAUCAAAUCCUCCAGCGUGCCAAUUCUUUAGGCGACGGACGAAUUGACAACUCCUCACCUUACAUAGGCACCAACUGACUGUUGGUCUUUGCCCAGCUCUGGGUUUGUACCUGCCCUUCUGCCCACAGCGAUGGUGUCAUUUUGACCUUGAUCUGGGAAUUGCUGUUCUUGUCAGCCUGUUGGCUCCCUCUGUUGAGGGAGACAGCUCUUUUGAGUGUCCAGGAGAUGGAAGUACAAAGGUGGACAAAUAUCUACACUCGGAAGGCAGACAAUAGUACCCCCCAAUUUCUGUUUGCACAUAGGUGAGAGCAAGAAAAAAAGGAGAAUACAUUGUAAAGAGUUUUAGUUCAGACACAAUAUGAAAGCACUUGAUUCUAAUGUUAUUUUUUUAAAAUUCAACUAAACACAUGUAGGACAAAUAUAGAACCAUAUCCUAGAGUUUGUUUUUUACUUUUUCUUUUUGAGAAGGAGUCUUGCUCAGUCGCCCGGGCUGGAGUGCAGUGGCGCGAUCUCAGCUCACUGCAAGCUCCUCCUCCCGGGUUCACGCCAUUCUCCGGCCUCAGCCUCCCAAGUAGCUGGGACUACAGGCGCCCGCCUCCACACCCGGCUAAUUUUUUUCUAUUUUUCGGUCUCCUGACCUUGUGAUCGGCCCGCCUCGGCCUCCCAAAGUGCUGGGAUUACAGGCGUGAGCCACCACACCCGGCCUAGCGUGGUUUUUAAAGAGCUUUAUUAUCCUGCUUUUUAAAACUUUAAUACAUUUUCCAAAUUUCUACAAAGAGAACAUAUCUCAACAAAAUUAGGAAAAAAUGCAAAUGAGAAAAGACGGAUACUCAAGUGCAGCUCAGUUCAGUCCAGUGCCAGCUGGCCAGGCCUUUUGCGGCAGGCAGCCUAUAAAGAUGCUCUAUAAAGAUACUGCACGCCUGGGUCUGGAUUCUCCAGGGAGCAGGUGGCUCAGAGAGAGCAUCAGUGACAAGAGCAAGGCAGAUGGUGGGAAGGCGAGGGUGUGGGUGCCACACGGUGGCAUCUCACACACUUCUGUUCAUUCCAUAAACAGGUUUAGUAAGCACCAUUUCCUGGGGGAAAGUCUACUUCUGGAAAGAAUUGUCUAUUGGAAAUGAAGAUCUUUCCCUGCUGCAGAAUAGGCUUAAAGAAACAAGUGCAGGCAGACAAGAGGGUCCUCCAGACCAUGUGCCUAGCCAAAACUUUUUUUGUUGUUAAUAGAGACAGGUUCUCACUAUGUUGCCCAGGCUAGUCCCAAACUCCUGGGCUCAAGUGAUCCUCCUGCCUUGGCCUUGCAAAGUGCUGGGAUUACAGGUGUGAGCCACCAUAGCUGUCCUGGCCUAAACUUAAUAGUAAAUCUACAUCUGUAUUCCGGAAAACCUAUCAGAAUAACCUAAAGUGUUAGAGCUUGUGGAAAAAGGCAAUGUCAAAAAAAGAAAAAAAAUGAAAUAAUAUAAAAUAAAGAAUAACUCUAAGUGAAGUAAAAAUAUUAGUAAUGAUAAUAAUAUGUAAUGAAUGCUAAUUCUAUACUGGGCAGAGAGUAUUAUUUUAUUUAACCUUUACACCAACCUUUUGAAGUAAAUGCCAUUGUUACUAUGUCCGUGUUACAGAUGAAGAAACUGAGGAUUAAUGAGCUUGAGUCACUUGCUCAAGGCCCCAUAAUUGCUAAGGAUCAAAGCCCUGUCUGCUCUGGGUGGGACUCCAAAGUCAGUGCUUUUGUUCAAAAUAUUACUCUGUUCUUCUGAGAGUAAGAGAGGCUUGGGCCAGGCAUGGUGGCUCACGCCUGUAAUCCCAGCACUUUGGGAGGCUGAGAUGGGAGGGUCACUUGAGCCCAGGAGUUCAAAACCAGCCUGGGCAACAUAGUGAGAGCCCCCAUCUCUAAAAAAUUAAAAUAAAAAAUAAAAUUUUGGCCA
Molecule: long non-coding RNA, 2219 nt
Filed under: Homo sapiens (human)
Lineage: Eukaryota; Metazoa; Chordata; Mammalia; Primates; Hominidae
Description: HSALNT0182632
Source: RNAcentral